GCUAGUUGCACGAGUUCAGACUCGUAGCAGAUAGCUCAGUAACACGUGGCCAAACUACCCUGUGGAUCUGGACAACCUCGGGAAACUGAGGCUAAUUCGGAAUACGGCUCACCACCUGGAGUGGUGUGAGCCCGAAACGCUCCGGCGCGACAGGAUGUGGCUGCGGCCGAUUAGGUAGACGGUGGGGUAACGGCCCACCGUGCCCAUAAUCGGUACGGGUUGUGAGAGCAAGAGCCCGGAGACGGUAUCUGAGACAAGAUACCGGGCCCUACGGGGCGCAGCAGGCGCGAAACCUUUACACUGCACGCAAGUGCGAUAAGGGGACUCCAAGUGCGAGGGCAUAUAGUCCUCGCUUUUUGCCACCGUAAGGUGGUGGCGGAAUAAGUGCUGGGCAAGACCGGUGCCAGCCGCCGCGGUAAUACCGGCAGCACGAGUGAUGACCGCUAUUAUUGGGCCUAAAGCGUCCGUAGCUGGCCAUGCAAGUCCGUCGGGAAAUCCGCGCGCUUAACGCACGGGCGUCCGGUGGAAACUGCAUGGCUUGGGACCGGAAGACCAGAAGGGUACGUCCGGGGUAGGAGUGAAAUCCCGUAAUCCUGGACGGACCACCGGUGGCGAAAGCGCCUCUGGAAGACGGAUCCGACGGUGAGGGACGAAAGCUCGGGUCACGAACCGGAUUAGAUACCCGGGUAGUCCGAGCUGUAAACGAUGCUUGCUAGGUGUGGCACAGGCUACGAGCCUGUGCUGUGCCGC
This 750-nucleotide ribosomal RNA is filed under the name Haloterrigena sp. L34. RNAcentral's name for it is "bacterial SSU rRNA". It matches the Rfam family "Archaeal small subunit ribosomal RNA", at positions 53 to 804 of the family's 1478-position model. The record is from RNAcentral. Lineage: Archaea; Methanobacteriati; Methanobacteriota; Halobacteria; Halobacteriales; Natrialbaceae.